This 168-nucleotide microRNA precursor is filed under the name Brachypodium distachyon (stiff brome). RNAcentral's name for it is "MIR2118 microRNA precursor family". It matches the Rfam family "MIR2118 microRNA precursor family". The record is from Rfam by way of RNAcentral. Lineage: Eukaryota; Viridiplantae; Streptophyta; Magnoliopsida; Poales; Poaceae.
GUUGGGAAGAGGACGAAAAGAGGGUCUGAGAGCGUUGGGUAUGGGAACAUGGAGGAAGCCUGGACUCUUCUUUUCCUCUAAAACUAGAGGUUGAGAUUUGUUUCACAUGUUUUUCCGAUGCCUCCCAUGCCUAUUGUUCUCAGAUGUUCCUUCCUCUUCCUUUUGGCU